This 170-nucleotide small nuclear RNA is filed under the name Suricata suricatta (meerkat). RNAcentral's name for it is "U2 spliceosomal RNA (ENSSSUG00005012479.1)". The stretch from base 1 to 133 matches the Rfam family "U2 spliceosomal RNA". Rfam says of the family: U2 is a small nuclear RNA (snRNA) component of the spliceosome (involved in pre-mRNA splicing). Complementary binding between U2 snRNA (in an area lying towards the 5' end but 3' to hairpin I) and the branchpoint sequence (BPS) of the intron results the bulging out of an unpaired adenosine, on the BPS, which initiates a nucleophilic attack at the intronic 5' splice site, thus starting the first of two transesterification reactions that mediate splicing. The record is from RNAcentral. Lineage: Eukaryota; Metazoa; Chordata; Mammalia; Carnivora; Herpestidae.
AUCGCUUCUCGGCCUUUUGGCUAAGAUCAAGUGUAGUAUCUGUUCUUAUCAGUUUAAAAUGCCUAAUUGUAUCAGGUUGGAGAGUUUCAUUAAAGAAUAAAAAGCAUUCUUCUACUUCUGAGACCAACACUAUAGUAUAUGUUAACUAACCUGAAUGUAAACAAAAUCAU